UGGGGAAUCUUCCGCAAUGGACGAAAGUCUGACGGAGCAACGCCGCGUGAGUGAAGAAGGUUUUCGGAUCGUAAAACUCUGUCUUUUGGGGCGAACGUGAGUAUGGUGAACAAUCAUAGUCAGUGACGGUACCAAAGGAGGAAGCCACGGCUAACUACGUGCCAGCAGCCGCGGUAAUACGUAGGUGGCAAGCGUUGUCCGGAAUUAUUGGGCGUAAAGAGCGCGUAGGCGGGAUAGUCAGUCUGUUGUAAAGUGCGGGGCUCAACCCCGUGAUGGCAAUGGAAACAGCUAUUCUUGAGUGCAGGAGAGGAAAGUGGAAUUCCCAGUGUAGCGGUGAAAUGCGUAGAUAUUGGGAGGAACACCAGUGGCGAAGGCGACUUUCUGGACUGUGUCUGACGCUGAGGCGCGAAAGCCAGGGGAGCGAACGGGAUUAGAUACCCCGGUAGUCCUGGCCGUAAACGAUGGGUACUAGGUGUGGGAGGUAUCGACCCCUUCCGUGCCGGAGUUAACGCAAUAAGUACCCCGCCUGGGGAGUACGGUCGCAAGACUGAAACUUAAAUGAAUUGAC
Molecule: ribosomal RNA, 568 nt
Filed under: uncultured bacterium
Lineage: Bacteria
Description: partial 16S ribosomal RNA
Rfam family: Bacterial small subunit ribosomal RNA
Source: RNAcentral